Long non-coding RNA from Leucoraja erinaceus (little skate), 2050 nucleotides. RefSeq lists it as uncharacterized. NCBI's taxonomy places the organism in Eukaryota, Metazoa, Chordata, Chondrichthyes, Rajiformes, Rajidae. The transcript is spliced from 4 exons. The record is from RefSeq and is a predicted model, not a curated record.
CUAGGUCGAGCUAGGCAGGAACUGGGAACAUUGCAGAUGCUAGUGUGACCGAAGAUUCCCAGGAAGGUUCUUUGGUCUUCUGUGCAAUACAUGUCGUCGAAACCCACAGCAAGGUCAUUGCAUUUCGUGAGGAAAGCUUUAAGAGGUCUCAAGAAUGUGCACCUAAGUGGAUAGAAGUGGAAGAAAGUCUACAAAGCAAAGUCGGUGCUAAGGUCCUACAACACAAACACGACAGCCAAAGACAUUGUGAAGCACCUGGAACUGGAAGACUAGACGUGAGUGAUUACGUGAAGAAGGCCGUCCAGGCGCACUCGCGUCAUCUCGUCAGACGCAUUGCGUUGUGACCACGGUAGGAGGAUGAACCUCCAAGUGCACAUUCCGGAGUUUUGUCGUGCUGUUCGGAUUUGUUGAUUAGCGAAGACAAUCCAAGCUUUCAUGCAAGAGAACAUAUAAACAUAAGUUGGCAGAUAAGAUCACAAAACUUCUGAAUGAUAAGUCAUCGAUCGACAUCACUGAACGAUGGGACAUGGUAAAUCAAAACUUGUUUUGGUUAAUUUUAAAGAAACAUGCUCUUAAAAUUGCAAAGUGAUCCGAGAUGUUGUACGGUGUACGCCAGCAAUGGUACAAGAAAAUAUACUUUAUGGAUAGGUUACUAAACCCAUAUUUGUUAUUUUAUUUGGAAAAAAAGAUUUGCAAAUGACUUUAAAUCUCAUGCAGAAAUAAAAGUUAUAAUCAAACAUCCAGGCUUUAAUUCUUAACUAAAGCAGAAAUGCAUUUUCAAGAUUCUAAUUCAAAAUUAGCCAAAGUUCAAUUUAAACAUUGCUGUUCUGUUCCACGACUCUUCCGUGCUGGUUCCAUGUAGUUCUCAAUUCUCUGAUCUUUGUCCUUGUCUAUUGUAACGAUUCAAAUCAAUAGAUAUGAGCUCCCUAUUAAGUAGCUUCUAAGUUAUUAGUGAUAUAAAUACAGAUUUCUAGUAUGUGUGUAUCCUUGGCAAGCAUACCUUUAAUUUUCCAUCUUUGAUGAGCCUCAAAGGUGACCUGAGCAGAUAUUCUUGCAGUGCUUUUAGGAUUUAUUUUGACCCAGAGUUAAUAAAUAUAUUUCCACGACAGGUGAAUGCAGGUGCCAAUCCCGCACUUGAAAGUGAACGUGCUGGUAACAUGGGUAAUGUGUUUUUUUAAAUUGCAUGUAACAUCUCAGCAGUGUUAAAUAUCUCAGCACUUGCUAUUUAAGACUUAUUAACGACAAGUUGGGUUCCCAUAUCACUCCCUUUUGGGCAUCUUGAAAAGGGAAAUGAGCUGUUGGACCUGCCUUUACUUGCGACAGUAAUUUCAGCGGAGAGGGUAGACUGGAGGGGGAGGAUAUUCAGCUGCAGCAGAUUGGGGAAUAAACUAUUAUAGAUACUAGGGCUCUUAAGUGAUUUCUGUCUGCAGAAUUUAUCCAUAAAACACUCACUUCUGUUAAAAGAGUAAAAACUUGAAAGAUUAUGUUGCACUGUGCCAUUUAACUUUUAAAGCCCCUUACCAGUUCAGCGCCAAACGGGGAGCAAGAUUUGAUCUCAAAGCCAGCUUGCGGAAGACUCUCCCCUAUACACCACAUUUUGGUUAGUAUGCAUUGCUACUGGUAACCCUUUGGAUAGAUUAUCUUGAGGUCAGAGAGUAAGCGUAUUGCUAAAGUGGGUCGUUAUUUAGGAUUCUAGAAUCCCGCAUAGGGCACCACAUACUCAAAAUCAAUUCAAUGUCAUUACCACUUUCUAAAUGAUUCACUUAAUUUAGUUAAAGCUAUAAUGGAAUCUGCAUUGAAACAACAUUUUUAAGGUAUUUGAACCUAUUUACCUUUUUCUAGUAAUCAUUGUUACUUUUGGUGGGGGGGUUUGAUUUUGUGGGUUGGCAUCAUCCCGGAGGGGACCGAGGGCCAGCAGAGCCUUUUGAAGAGCAGUGAGCCAUCGUAUCACCCUCAGCAGAGGGGAGCAUUGGUGACCAGGACCGGGCUGGUGAAGAACAGGGGUCACUGGCUGAACUAUCAUCCAGAGCUGUGAAAGAUGUCCUGGACC